This 200-nucleotide long non-coding RNA is filed under the name Prunus persica (peach). RNAcentral's name for it is "long non-coding RNA (PPER_LNC007895)". The record is from RNAcentral. Lineage: Eukaryota; Viridiplantae; Streptophyta; Magnoliopsida; Rosales; Rosaceae.
CCGAAGGAGGUACUUCUGGUUUCUUUCCUUUUCUGGCAAAACUAGUCUCUGGAAGUAGCUGUGUGUUGUCCCUGUUCUUGAGGAAAGUGCAGUAUUGCCUUUGAACCUUCCUCUUAUGAGUUCUGGUUAGCUCCAGAGUUGGUCUACCACUUGUCCCUAUAGAAUACCAUCUGCCCUCUAUGAUAACUGCUAAGGGUUUC